Molecule: ribosomal RNA, 460 nt
Filed under: uncultured bacterium
Lineage: Bacteria
Description: partial 16S ribosomal RNA
Rfam family: Bacterial small subunit ribosomal RNA
Source: RNAcentral
CCUACGGUAGGCAGCAGUGAGGAAUAUUGGUCAAUGGGCGGAAGCCUGAACCCGCCAAGUCGCGUGAGGGAUUAAGGCCCUGCGGGUCGUAAACCUCUUUUGCCGGGGAGCAACGGGGUCCUUGCGAGGUCCCAAUGAGAGUACCCGGAGAAAAAGCAUCGGCUAACUCCGUCCCAGCAGCCGCGGUAAUACGGAGGAUGCGAGCGUUAUCCGGAUUUAUUGGGUUUAACGGGUGCGUAGGCGGGCUGUUAAGCCAGCGUUCAAAUUUUGGGGCUCAACCCCGGCCUGCCGUUGAAAUGGGCGGCCACGAGUGGGCGAGAAGUAUGCGGAAUGCGGGGUGUAGCGGUGAAAUGCAUAGAUAUCACGCAGAACUCCGAUUGCGAAGGCAGCAUACCGGCGCCCGACUGACGCUGAGGCACGAAAGCGUGGGUAUCGAACAGGAGUAGAUACCCUGGUAGUC